Molecule: long non-coding RNA, 1140 nt
Filed under: Eutrema salsugineum
Lineage: Eukaryota; Viridiplantae; Streptophyta; Magnoliopsida; Brassicales; Brassicaceae
Description: long non-coding RNA (ESAL_LNC000671)
Source: RNAcentral
UCACCACUGUUCUUGGUCUCUGUGAUUCCAGAUUGAAUUAUAAUCGUUGUGCAAAAUUCGACAAGGGCUUCUUCUCCGGUUCCGUCUGCGGUUGUGUCAUCUUUGAUGAAUUUCCAGUCUUGUCAACGGCGACAUCAUCUCGGAGUUCGAUGAUCCUUUAAUUUGUUUACUGCUCAUUCUAAUUUUUGGGCCUUUGUAUUCCUCUGAUAUGAUAUCGGCUUGCAAUACUGAAACUGGCCCUCUAAAAACGUUAGAUGCUAAUUUUUAUCAAAUGAUGUGAUGAUUCCGCAAUCUUUUGGAUAUUGAUUUUGUGUGUCACUAAAGCAGGCGGAGAAAGGUGGUUGCUUAAUGGGAAGAAUCACAAACAAGAUGGGUUAAAUCAGGCAGGGGGAAAGUUGGUUCAUCUGAUAAGCAUUCUUUUUUAUUCAAGGGUUAAUUCAGACAGGGAGAAGACUGAAUCAAGUAGAAGCUUGUUGCAGUUACAAAACUAAGAAAAUUUGAGAGCAAAGAGUUGGUAUAUUCUACAUCAUCUGUGUAAGAACUGGUUGACUGAAUUUAGGGUGAGAAUGUGGAAGCAAUGGGCUUCAUGUACAGAAGAGCUUCAGACAGGGAGAGGACUGAAUCAAGUAGAAGCUUGUUGCAGUUAAAAAACUAAGAAAAAUUUGAGAGCAAAGAGUUGGUAUAUUCUACAUUAUCUGUGUAAGAACUGGUUGACUGAAUUUGAACCAGCGAGGGUGAGAAUGUGGAAGCAAUGGGCUUCAUGUACAGAAGAGUUGAAAAGAAGCAUUUUGCAAGGAGCAUAGACGCCUGCAGAAGGACAAAAAUUACAAUUUUCAGUAUUCAAGGUGCUAACAAGAAAAGGAAGUUACGUGGACCAAAUCUGAGACGACUACCUCCAAGAAUUAGAUAAGCAUAAACGUAUGUUUGUUCUCAUUGAGAGAGAGAGAUAGAGAGAGCAAGGAUGUUCUAUACAAAUAGGAUUUGCUAUUUUCAAGAAAUAGUAGCAGAGGUAAUUCAGGAGAGCAGAUGGAAACACAACUUGUUGCUGUGCAAAAAUAGAAACUCUUGCUAUAUGCAGAAAACUAUGGUUUACGAAAUUCUAAAUGAUGGCUAAUAUAAGUGGGAAUUGACGAGGAUGCA